RNAcentral lists this ribosomal RNA (315 nucleotides) under uncultured archaeon. RNAcentral's name for it is "bacterial SSU rRNA". It matches the Rfam family "Archaeal small subunit ribosomal RNA", at positions 1029 to 1343 of the family's 1478-position model. The record is from RNAcentral.
UUAAGUCAGGCAACGAGCGAGACCCGUGCCCACUGUUACCAGCAUGUCCUCCGGGACGAUGGGUACACUGUGGGGACCGCUGAUGUCAAAUCAGAGGAAGGUGCGGGCUACGGUAGGUCAGUAUGCCCCGAAUCUCCCGGGCUACACGCGGGCUGCAAUGGUCGGGACAAUGGGUCCCUUCCCCGAAAGGGGUUGGCAAUCUCACAAACCCGUCCUUAGUUCGGAUCGAGGGCUGUAACUCGCCCUCGUGAAGCUGGAAUCCGUAGUAAUCGCGUUUCAAUAUAGCGCGGUGAAUACGUCCCUGCUCCUUGCACA